This is a non-coding RNA of Paenibacillus polymyxa SC2, 227 nucleotides long. It matches the Rfam family "HNH endonuclease-associated RNA and ORF (HEARO) RNA". The record is from Rfam. Lineage: Bacteria; Bacillati; Bacillota; Bacilli; Caryophanales; Paenibacillaceae.
GUCAAUAACCCACCACUUACGAACAAAGUUCGUUGAAGUGGGGGCUUGUGAAAACAAACCUUUAUUGACUACCCUCAGUCCUUCAAGGACUACGUUGGUUGAGUUACGACACCUACGGAUGCUCCUCAAGUCCGUAGCAACUGUCGUGGAUGGUUAAAACCUCUGAUGGGUAGGAGCGGUGCUGUCCACCGAACAAGCUCUUCCAACUUUGGGUAUGAGGCAAUUAA